UACCUGGUCUUGACAUCCACAGAACUUUCCAGAGAUGGUUUGGUGCUUUCGGGAACUGUGACACAGGUGCCGCAUGGCUGUUGUCAGCUCGUGUUGUGAAAUGUUGGUUUAAGUCCCGCAGCGAGCGCAACCUUUAUCUUUUGUUCCCAGCGGUUAGGCCGGGAAUUCAAAGGAGACUGCCAGUGAUAAACGGGAGGAAGGUGGGGAUGACGCCAAGUCUUCAUGGCCCUUACGACCAGGGUUCCCCACGUGUUCCAAUGGCAUAUCCAAAGAGAAGCGACCUCGCGAGAGCAAGCGGACCUCAUAAAGUAUGUCGUAGUCCGGAUGGGAGUCGCCAACUGGACUCCAGGAAGUCGGAAUCGCUAGUAAUCGUAGAUCAGAAUGAUGCGGGAAUAC
RNAcentral lists this ribosomal RNA (396 nucleotides) under Klebsiella sp. RG23. RNAcentral's name for it is "bacterial SSU rRNA". It matches the Rfam family "Bacterial small subunit ribosomal RNA", at positions 972 to 1369 of the family's 1533-position model. The record is from RNAcentral. Lineage: Bacteria; Pseudomonadati; Pseudomonadota; Gammaproteobacteria; Enterobacterales; Enterobacteriaceae.